This 73-nucleotide transfer RNA is filed under the name Bos taurus (domestic cattle). It matches the Rfam family "tRNA". Rfam says of the family: Transfer RNA (tRNA) molecules are approximately 80 nucleotides in length. Their secondary structure includes four short double-helical elements and three loops (D, anti-codon, and T loops). Lineage: Eukaryota; Metazoa; Chordata; Mammalia; Artiodactyla; Bovidae. The record is from Rfam by way of RNAcentral. RNAcentral also lists the same sequence under 1 other name.
UCCCUGGUGGUCCAGUGUCUAAGACUCUGAGCUCUCAAUGCAGGGGACCUGGGUUCAAUCUCUAGUCAGGGAA